ACCCAACACCGGCGGCUGGGUGCUGGAAAUCCCCCUUAGAGUUUGAUCCUGGUUCACACCGCACGCUGGCGGCACGCCUAACACCUGCUACUCGAACGACGUUUCAGUACUUACUGGUCAACGGGUGAGUAACAUGUAGGGAUCUGCCCUUUGGCCUGGAAUAACAGAAGGAAACUUGUGCUAAUACCGGAUAAUUCUUUACGGAUAAAGCUUUAUGCACCAUUGGAUGAGCCUGCACUUGAUUAGUUUGUUGGUGGGGUAAUGGCCUACCAAGACUUUGAUCAAUAGCUGAUUUGAGAGGAUGAUCAGCCCCAUUGGGACUGAGACACGGCCCAAACUCCUACGGGAGGCAGCACUGGGCAAUCUUGCACAAUGUAAGAAACUCUGAUGCAGCGAUGCCCCUUGAGUGAACAAGGCCCUUGGGUUGUAAAGCUCUUUCGUCGGGGAAGAAAAUGACUGAACCCAAAUAAAAAGGCCCGGCUAACUUCCUGCCAGCACCCGCGGUAAUACCAAGGGACCUAAAGUAGUUCGGAAUUACUGGGCUUAAAGAGUUCGUAGGUGGUUGAAAAGGUUGGUGGUGAAAUCCCAGAUCUUAACUCUGGAACUGCCAUCAAAACUUUUCAGCUAGAUUAUGAUAGAGGAAAGCAUAAUUUCUAGUGUCCAGGUGAAAUUCGUAUAUAUUAUAAAGAACACACAUCGCCACGCAGCUUUCUGGAUCAUUACUGACACUGAGGAACGACGCAUGGGUACCGAAGAGGAUUACAUACCCUCGUAGUCAUGCCGUAACGAUGUGUGUUACAGAUGCAAAUUUAUUUUCUGUGUCUCACUCAAGCGAUAACACUUCGCCUGGGGAGUACGAUCUCCAUGUUUAAACUCAAGUGAAUUGACGUGGACCCGCACAAGUAGUGGAGCAUGUGGUUUAAUUAGAAGAUACGCGCAGAACCUUACCAACACUUGACAUGUUAGUCGCGAGUAUAAGAGAUUAGAGUUUUCGGUUCGGCCGGACGAAACACAGGGUCUGCAUGGCUGUCGUCAGCUCGUGUCGUGAGAUGUUGGGAUAAUUCCCGCAACGAGCGCAACCCUCACUUUUAGUUGCCAUCAUUAAGUGGGGCACUCUGAAAGAACAAUCAUUCAUAAGGUGGAGGAAGGUGGGGAUGACGUCAAGUCGUCAUGGCCCUUACGUGUUGGGCUACACACGUGCUACAAUGGGAUCUACAACAGGAAGCAACACGACGACGAUAAGCAAAUCCUUAAAAGAUACCUCAGUUCGGAUUGCUCUUUCCAACUCGAGUGCAUGAAGCUGGAAUUACUAGUAAUCGUGGAUCAGCGUGCCACGGUGAAUGCGUUCCCGGGUCUUGUACACACCUCCCGUCACACCAUGGGAUUUGAUUUUACAUUAAGGCAAGGUUUAAUACCCUCGUCCACGGUAUAGUCAGCGGGUGGGUUGUAGUCGUCACAAGGUAACCAGGGCCGCUUUCGGCGGAUAUCCUUCCCCCGGCGGCC
RNAcentral lists this ribosomal RNA (1503 nucleotides) under uncultured marine bacterium. RNAcentral describes it as "bacterial SSU rRNA". It matches the Rfam family "Bacterial small subunit ribosomal RNA". The record is from RNAcentral.